AUGAGAGAGUUUGUCCUGCGAUUCCUCAGAGAAUUCCAGAAUCCCCCUGACAUAUCUGCUUGGCAUUUGGCAGCUGGCUUGGUUUACGCAGUCGGCUUGGGCUUGGAAGCAGCAUACUUCUUAUUUAUGAUUUUCUGUUUUCACGGAUAUACUGGUAUUUCUUCUGACAUUCCUGAUCUUUUCCUUGUAUUGUUAAGCUGA
Molecule: non-coding RNA, 201 nt
Organism: Vicia faba (fava bean)
Lineage: Eukaryota; Viridiplantae; Streptophyta; Magnoliopsida; Fabales; Fabaceae
Source: the annotation of a GenBank genome assembly